CUUCUCUCAGAGUCACAGCUGGAGAGCUCCCAGUAGUCUACCAGUCUCGACUACAGGAGGGAGAGUCAGGCAGAGGCAUAUCCAUUCCAUUCCUAGCUUGGGCAGUGGCUAGCAAGUGGAAGGCAAUCUGCUACAAGU
This 138-nucleotide small nucleolar RNA is filed under the name Ornithorhynchus anatinus (platypus). Lineage: Eukaryota; Metazoa; Chordata; Mammalia; Monotremata; Ornithorhynchidae. The record is from RNAcentral.